Molecule: non-coding RNA, 22477 nt
Organism: Coturnix japonica (Japanese quail)
Lineage: Eukaryota; Metazoa; Chordata; Aves; Galliformes; Phasianidae
Source: RefSeq, a predicted model, not a curated record
AUAAAAAUCUCAUUUAAUGAGUAUUUCUCUGGAAUUAACAAAGAACUUAUUAGGUUUCAGCUUCUUUGGUCAGAAGUUGUCAGUGCGUUAACGUGUUUUUUUUGCAUGCGACUAAGCUAAGGAGUGAUCCAUUGUACAAUGGGUUUGGUUGGUCACAUUGUCUCUCUUUACUUUAGUUGUUUCGUAGGCGAUAGGUUGGUGAAUGGAUAUGCAUGUUCAGUAUCAGUUUCCAUGUGAGGAGAGGUGAGCUUGACCUUCCUGCAUGGCAGAUAAGUGUACAUGAGUAGAGCAGACAGAGAUUCCUGCUCCAGUCUUCCUCCCUGUCUUGCUGGGUCAUGUCUGGUGCAUUUCUGUGUGCCUCAUUUCUGCUGUCAGUAAAAGUAGGUUAGGGCUUGGGAUUAUUCACAGCAUCCAAAAUUCUUCAGCAAUUCUAAACCCGUAUGAAAACACAAGACGGAAACUUGUGUGAAAAUGCCUGCCAGUGCUUUAGGCCAGCUUUUAUAUCUGAACUAAAACGUUGCAAUAAGGAGUUGCAUGUACAUACAAAUAAAGAACCUACCUCUUUUUUGUCCUUUCUUUCAACUCUAACCACAGCACAUCAAGUAUUACCAAAAAGCUGAAGGUAAGAAUUUGUGUUAGGAGAGCAUUUUUGAUUAUAGGACUUGAUGUUUGUUACAUUCUUCUGUAUUUUCAGGUUCUGAAAUGCUUUGAUGAAUGUCUCCAUUCCAUUGGAAUCAAAGCCAUUUGGAAAAAGGAAGCUAUUCUGAAUUCUUUAAUGAUACUUGUGAAAUUUUCCUCCAACUUUAACAAAACUGCUACAGCCCUUUUUUUUUCCCCCCUGAAAUGUAGAACACAGUGAAUGAGAAUAAAUAGAAGCUGGCAUGUUUCUUCAUGUGCAGUUUUAUUGGUGUGCAUGUUUGUUCAUUUGUCUGUUAACUUGUAGAAUUCCAUCAUCUUACAAAGUGGUUUGUGGUUUGGUUUGAAUUGGUGAGACUUUCCUAUUUUUCACAUUUUAACCGUUACUGACAUUUUAAUGCAAUAGGAACAAUAGAGAAGAAGAGCCACAGUUUUUUUGCAAAUAGCCAUUAGAUGUUGUGGUGCUUUUAGGAGAUUGUUCUAAGAGUUUCUUGAUGGAUUUUGGGGCGUAUUUUUAAUGGGAUAUUUCAGAGGCGCUUUGGUUUGUAUUUGCACACCCAGCUGCCAAAAGCCUUCCAGCAGGUUGGGUGACAGACACACCCCAAAAUGUCUAUCUUCAUUCACAUCUCAUUUGUAGCGUUAUCUGAAGCAUAGGCUGAUGUCUAUUUAUUUUAUCCUCCUUAUGUAUAAUACAUAGGUUGCUGCUUUCAGGAGUUCCCCCUUUACCUCCAAUGGCACAUUGUCUCAUCUCUGUUCUUUAUGUUAAAAAUGAGGAAGGUUUGGCUGGUCCCCUGUGCGUGGAAUGGAGCCUGCAGCGCGCUGAGCUCGGUUUGAUCAAAGCUGUGUGACCGCUGGAACAUACAGUGGCACACAGAUGGCUGUAUUUUCUUGUACCAAGCAGCAUUGCGUGCUGUACGCGUUGUAACAACAAUACCGCUGAAGCAAGAGGUCACAUUGAUCUACGCUGGAGUUCAUUGGUACUACGAUUUGUACUGAGGUCAGUAAUGAACUGAAACAACCUUUGCAGCGUUUGCUUUUCCUAGUGACGGUGCCAGCAGAGGAGCUGGGAACGGCCUCCUAGAGCUCUCAGGGAAACUCAUUGUUCACGUAAACCCUGGGAAGGAAUUUCUCUUCCUUCUUGGCCUGCUAGGUAUGCACUGAACCAUACAGUUUGCUUUAGCUGCAUACCAUCUGCGUUUUAUUUUUGUUUUGUUUACUGACUUUCCACCCAUGUCGGUCGUCUUUUAGCAUGGCUGUGUUGUUGUGUAUUCCACCUUCGUCAGCAACCUUGGUUGUGUCUUGGUUUGUUCACUCUGAGUUUGUUGGAUGUUUGGAACAGAGCCUUGCAUGGGAAAAAACUUGGAUUGGGUGGGAAUUCUACCUGUGUUGUGCUUGUAGGAGCAGGAUGGGCACUGGUUGCUUUAGGGUUGCUGCUGUUUGCCAUACGUGCAGUUAGAUACUGAUUGCUGGGACCUGUGGUCCUUGAGGCGUGCUGGUUGAGUGAGGAGAAAAAAGCAGCUUCUUCCUUCUGCCCUGGCUAUAGCUCUGCUCAGCAUCUGCUUUUACUUUCCCUCCACUUUCUUUCAAGCUUGUUGGAAGAAUUAUUUCUUCCUGAGUGAGUUUCAGCCUCUGUCACUGUUUCACAAUCUGAAGCUGGUACUGCAGGAAUGUCCUUGUCCCGGUGCACCAGCAGUGGUGCUAUUGGAGCUGAAGGGGACUGGUGACGUCUGUAAGCAGAACAUUCAGGUUGUGACUGUGCUGGGGCCAGCACUGAUAGUUGCUCUGGAAUAAGCUCUGAUGUUGGAAGCCAUGUAGAGCAAAGACACGUCAGCUGCUCCACUCAGACUCUCAAGGCUCACAUGCUGUUAGAGGAACAUGACCAUGUUGCUCCAGGACCCAGGCUGGAUCUGCGCGUUCCUGCGGUGUUGUGGCCAAGCUAAUAAAACCACCUAGAGAUGCCAGGAGUUGGCUUUGCAAAGAGUACUAUUGUUAUUGAUAGUUUUUCAUUAACUAGGUUACCCCAGCUUCCUGUUAUCUGGCAUAUUUGAGAGCUGACUGUGUUGUAUUAUGUUGGAGUUCCUUACUUCUGCUUCAUGGUCCAGAAGUUUGACUGGCUUUUCUUAUGAGAUAGUUCUGAGCUCUGUUUUCAGUAUCACUUAUGAUCCAAACAUGGCCAGAUUGUUUCGUCAGACAAGCCUUAAAUAUAAUUGUAACCAGAAGCUAAAUCACCGUGUUCCUUCACGAAGGUAGGUGAGAAUAAAACAGUUCUUCACUGCAGGAAAUGUCAUUUUUUCUGUUCAGAAUUUGCAUCCAUCAUAGAGUGAUGAUAGGCUGGAAUGACCACGGUUAGUGAAACUGCCUCCAACCAAGAGUUCUCGCUAUUAGGUAAAUCAAAACAUGUUAUUCAGAGGGUGACUCAUGGAAAACUAAGUAAAGAUUUUAUAAUCGGAUCCUCUGGAAAUGCUGAACGGCACAUCACAAUAAAAUUGUCAGUCUCCUUACAUAAAUUGUUUAUGUGCUGCUAAUCCUCUUAGAAUGAAAAGAGAACUCAGUGCGUCUUUGGUGCAGGAAAUUAGCAGAACCUUUCAGUUGUGUGUGCUGUCCUGACUUCUGAGAUCAGGCUGAAUUUAAGUCGUUCUGCCUGAUGUUUGAUCUAAAGAUCUCGCCUGAACCCAGGUGGAAGUUCCUACUGCAGAAUACAUCUCAAGUCUUCUCUCACGGCUGCUGAAUAGCCUGAAAUCCGCUAACUGCAAUGGAAAGAAAUUGCACAACAGGUAUUUCACUGUCAAUCCUUCUGGAGAGGAAUCCUGCCCUUCCUUCCAGCGUCCUUUACCUCUGUUGCUACGAUUGCAGUGCAAUCCUAAUUGAUCAUCUUUUCUUCCCUGCACACAACUUCAGAGUCCUGAAUCUUCCUGUUCAAUACUUGCAUGUUGAGACCAUGUUAGCAUUAUUUGCUGCAGACAGCAUUUGACACGUGUCAGAGGAUUGGUAGAGUCCUAAGUGAGAUGGUCAACCUGCUGGGAAUGAAGUGGCUGGGCUUGGGGAAAAGACAUAACCAGAGAGCCUAGAUCUUUCUCCUUUGAUGUGGACUAAGUGUAAAAGAGGUCUAUCUUUCAAAGCACUGGCAGCUUUGUAGGGUAUACUGCAGAUUCAUUGAGUUAACUUGCUAAAAAUGACUGCAGUGCGUGUAUAACCGUGUGGGCUGAAGAAUCUAAAUUGGAGUUGGGUGAAAACAGAUUUUGGGUUAACCGAAGUCUGCACUGUAACUCUGAGGAGCGUAAUGAGAGCAGCGUGGCUGCAAAGAAGUCUAGUCAAAUUUUCCCUCAUACUUAAACACUCGAACGUGGAUAGUAAAUAAAGGAGAUACUGCCCUUUUUGGGUUGUCUUCCCUUGAUUGGCCGUGUGAUUGCUCCAUAUCUUCACUCCUUUUCAAAGAGGAAGUCAAGAGGAAAUAAAAGAUAACAUUGACUGUUCCAGAGUGAAUUUGUGUAUCUACAAGCAAACAUAAAUGGUAUUGUGAAAUGGAAUGAGUGGGGCAUGGGGAAUUUCCAGAUCCCAAGGUGAAAAUGACUUCAGAGAAGUGUAGACAAGUUUGAAGCAUUACUGCUGCAAAUGAAAGCUGCUGGUUCCUUUUCUGCUCCUACCCAAAAGUUUACUUUCUGGCAGCAGAGAUGUUUAUUUUUUAAUUAUUUUUUUUUAAUUAUUAUUUUUUUCAUGAGACUUAAAAACAUGAACAAAACUGCGUGGAUUUUAUGAAGUGGGAUGUUUUCUCUUUGGGAUCAUAGGAUUUAUGUUGAAAGGGACCUUAGGAGGUCUGUAGUUCAACCUCUUGUUGAGUAGAAUUGACUGUCACUGGUCCAUUUCAACCUCUUGCUGAGUAGAAUUGACUUGUCACUGGUCCAUUUCUGUAAACAAGCGUUUCAAAGUAGUUACGAUUAUUUAGUGGAAAAAGCUUCUGGCUGAUGAAAGGCCUAUUAACUGAUCAAUUAAUUCAAUGAAAAGUUUUCAGUCAAGCUUGUCAUUAAAAGAAAUAACUGCUUUUCCAGGAGCAGGUGUGAUAGAGGCAGAGAGGAUAAAGGGGAAGAGCAGGCACCAGCAGUGAACUUGGCACUCCAACCAGUCAUCCCUGUAUGGAUUUUCACCACUUGCCAAACGUGCCUUAGACUGAAUUGUAAGUUAUUGUACAUCAUUACUACACUGCAUCUCUGAGACGUGUCUCAGCUCAGGAGUCAGCUCACUGAAGCUCAGGGAGCCUGGUCAUGUAAGACUGCUGUGGUUUGAAUGACCACUUGAAGCAUGACAUGUGUUCUGCCUGUUUGCUUUCAACAUGUGUGGGUAUGAUUAAUCAGCCUGGUUGGAAAGUGUUAUACUUCCACGUAUUUUUUUAAUUGCUGUUUUUUUCCGUUUGAAAAGAUGAAGGAAAGUACCUAGGCAAGGCCUUGUGCUUUUUUAUGGCAGGUGGUUGUAGGACAGGCUUGCUUUCUGUCACUGCCCUCUUCAGGACAGACCACAGCUCAUCUUUCGCAUCUGCGUUACGCCAUUCUCUUCAUAACUCUUUUUCUUCUCCAGUUAUUUAAGCCAUGUCUUCCUUUGCAGUCCCCUUAACAAGGCUUCAGUCCAUAGUGGUACUGAGAGGCAUAGUCCCAUCUUCAUCCUUACUCCAGGCUUGGACCCUCCUUGAGGACAGGAUUUGUGAAGCCAACAGAGAGGCAGCAGAAGAACACAUCAGAUUGCCCUUCCAACAGAACUGUGUUCUAUACUGGAUUCUGCUGUACUGGACUAGUCUUGCCUGGAAGCACUAGAGAUCUCCUGAUAGAGAACUUCACUAGAUAAAGCGUUCUAGGUAUGUCAGUAGUUCAAGUGACAUCAAAAUGUGGUCUGUUGGGUUGUUAGUUUGUAGGAACAUUCAUUUCUUAAAUUCCUUUGAGAUCUGAAAGGAGAACAAUAAUGUAAUUAUCAAAUGUUCGUUUUCUGAUUUUCUGAAUCUCUGUUUAGAUAUAAUGGACUGACUUCAGGAAGUCUGAACAAUCCCAAGUAUGACCAAGUCUCAUUUGAGCUCUGUUAUCCCAUGGAAGGUGGUCUUGCAAGGUCCCUUCCAGCCUGGUUUGUUCUGUAACGUGUUUGUUAAUCGUACUUGGUACUUGAAAGGGGAAAUAAGGUGACAGAAAUUGCAAACUUGAGAGAGAAGUGGGAAUGUAUUUCUCAUGUAGCUAAUAAAGUUCAGCAGGAUGGGAGAGAAGAGUUCCUGGGUAUCAACUGAGGCCUUUGGAGGAACAUGAGUGCGUUUACUGAAGGAAGUAAAUCUGUGACACACUGUAGAAGUAUCCAGCAGAUUUGGAUGAAGAAGAAUGCAGAUAAUCCCUCUGAAAAGCAGGAAGUUGAGUUGUUAAAAUCAGUCCUUGCUGCAAGUUGUGGCUCUCAGCACUGCUUGGCACUGCCACUUGGCCAAGCAGCAUUUUGGCACAGAACCUGACCUUGACCAGGAAAUUGUUUUCUCUGCAGCUCAAUGUCAAGGGGAGGCUUCGCUUCCCUUUGAAGGCACACCUGGAGAAUAUAGUUUUAAAAUGGAUUUUGCUUGAGCAAGUUUGUAAACGUUUGACUGGGGGACAGCAAAUGUUCUUCAGCUUUGCCAUGAACUGCCUCUUCCUUUGAUGUUGUUGUAGCUUCAUUACGUGGUGUUUACGUUACUGGGACAAAUAUCUCCAACACAAAGAUUUACGAGGCAGCUUCUGUGUUACAGAAAACGUAGAGGAGAGGAGAAACCAAGUUUUAUAUAAAAAUCUCUACCCUUAAUUCAUAGAGUAGAUUUACAAGAUAAAAAUAUAUUUUCCUGCAGGAUUUAGCCCAUGUUUUCCCUUGUAAUAUCAGCCAUUUUUCAGUUUUAAUGAAAUUGUUCUUCCUUUUGAUAAAAGCUCAGUGUGCAAAGUAAUUUCUCUUCUUAUGUUGACCCAUCAUUACAGUGGAAAGAAGGGAUGUCUGAAACUGUGGAUGAUUAUGACUUAGUUAUGGGGUGAAAUAGAAGCCAAGGGUGUAGCUGAGAGAGUGUAAGGUUUUAAUCUCUCACUGACUGCAGCGGUAGCUGGUAAAAAUAGAUUUUGUUAAAAUACAUUCUGUGUUGUUUUCUGAUGGACUUAUAGUAGACAGCAAAACUGUCUGAGGGGAUGAACCUGUCCUUUGGAUGGAGAUGGUCGUGUUUCUAAGCACGCAGCUAUAAUGAGGUAGCUGCAGGAAUAGCGAGUGAUGGCAUCGCAUCAUUACUAGCAAGGCAUUCCAAAUAAAAGGCAGACAGCCUUGCAGGUUUUUACUUCUUCCCUGUGGAACAGCUGUUGCCAUUUUGCAGAGGGGAGCUGGGGCAUGUUUUGUAGGAAGCAGCCCCAGUCAGGGUGUAGCAUUGCUGAGGGAACCAGAUAGAAAAGCCAGUGCUGUAGAGGUGUGCAGCCUGAUGUUACCUUUGACAUUUCUUCUGUUCUUUCAGCACACUGCUUAUUUUCUGGGAGCAUUCGUCUAUUUUUCUUGCAAAGGAAAUACAAAGACUCAAGGAUAUAAGUGGGACUGAGAAAAACAGCAAAGCGCAGAGAGAUAGGGACUGGAAAGAUGGGUUUAGCUGAACACUGUGUUGCUCUUAAAUAAAAGCAUGAAAGUGCUUUCAGAUACAGUGGGAGCUGAUGAGUCUACCGAGGCACACGAGGAUGCUGAAAGUCAAGUUCAGCUACUUGAGGCAGCUCCGACUCUCUGAAAAGGAUAUUUGCUGCAGGUGAACUAAGUGAAAACUCCAUUUCAUCCUGCUUUAGUGCAGAAGGAGAGGAGAUAGGACUGCAGGAUGAGAAAUGUUAAAUGAGAACUGCGGGUAGGUAGAUACAGGGACAGGAUCUGUAAUUACUGACUGACGUUUGGAAAGUACCCUUGUUCUCUGCUGGCCUCUUUGUGAAGCCACGUGAUGCCAACCUACUGCAGAGGAGCCACAGUUUGGUGCCAGCGAUUCAUAUCCAUUUUGUGGAGUAGUGGAGAUCUACAGUGAUUAACUGCUAAGUGUUGUUAUUAAUGAUUCAGAGCUUUUGGCUCCUCUUUCCAUACACGGAUCAUCAGACUGUCUUUCCUUGCCAUUUUAAAAUUAUUAUCUGAAUGACCCGAAUGUCUUCGAAGUAGCUUGAAUUUUUGUUCUGGCGCGGGCUUUACAAACAGAAUCUUUCAUCUGAUACACUUAACAUUAAUUUUGCUUUUUUAAUGGGAUUCUCUUCUCCCAAAUUUACAUGAUUGAGCUUGCAGUCUGUUGGAGAUGUUCUCUCCCAGCGAUAAAUUUGCCUGAGCAUCUCUUAAUAUGUGUUGAGCAACACGUAGGUGGCUGUUUGCGUGUCGUGCUCUUCCCCAGGCAGAUAAACAAGGAGGGGUUUGUGUGGCUGUUGUUCAAGCAAUACUUCAGAAAAGUUCCAUCCUGCCUGGAUGUCACUUCUGUUGUUGUACUUUGCUCUUGGUGACAUCACUGGUGGCAGCUAAGAGAAGUGCAUUAAUUGUUCGAUGGUCUUUGAACAAGGAUGUUGACUUUUCCCAGCGGCCAAUCGUGCACAGCCAAUUUAGUAGAAGAAACUGUAUGUACCAUAAUAGGGUUACGAGUAUGGGUGAGAGCAGAGUUAGCCUGUUCAUGCAGAUGGGAGAUAAAUAACUAAAGAGAACUGGGAGUGAUGUGAAUCACUUCUACAUUUUCCAAGUCUCCAUUGAUGCAGAUGGCGGAAUCAGCUCUGAAAUUAAAAACCCGCUACUUCAUUGAAAGUUCUUUGUGAUGAGGUUGGUAUUCUCAUAGGGAACAAUGCUGUUAUACAGGGUUGCCUCUGCAAGGUGUGGGUCCAGGUGGGGCCUGGACCCUAAACAGCAAGGGAUCAGGAGGUGUGAAGUGCUCUCAGCAGAGGUACAGGCAGAUUUCAGCUGACCGUAGCCCAUACCACAGUGCAAACACUGCCCUCGGGAUGCACUUCUGGCACUCGCAUGUGAAGUGUUCACAUUAAUUCCGCAGAAAUGAUCCCUCCUGAUUUCUUCAGAAGGCUAUUUGUGUACAUGUGGUUGUCAACUGGGAAGAGGUAGGCUCUUAAGGAGACUCUUGUUGCUAACCCUUCAUAUGCUGAGAGCAAGGCUGCACAGUGGGGGAGUUUCCAGAGAAGUUAUUUCAAGUGAAGCAGCGCUGCAGGAACAAGGGCAAUGUCAUGAGCCUAAACUCUGUGCUGUAAUAGUCACAUCCUCCUUACUGUCCUUGGGGUCCUUCCUCCCUGCAGUCAGCCUUUCUAUGCGGAAAGAACUCAGCAGUGCCCAUUUCAUCUUGCUCCUUUCACGGCCAUCUCCUCUCCAGAAAUCAAAGUCUGCGGUAGCACUCACAGUCUGGGUGGUACUGAGGUAAGCAGGAAAUGUAGUCCAGAGCUGGUAGUGCACUUUGACCAUCAUGCCCUUAGCCACGAGAUUAUUCUUCCUUCCUUAUAAGCAAACAUCCUUUUAUUUACGUAGAAGGAUACUGCAUGAUGAAAUCUACUUUCUGCUCUCUAUCUGACUGUGUUUACUUCCCAAUUAAUUUGAUAAAGAGUGAAAAUAGAUCGAUCGCUUCCUUUGCAUGUUGGCCUGAGUUCUUCACUUAAUUCUCAUACACAAGGCCCCUAUUGCAGAGCUUCGUUUGCAAAUUGGAGCAGGAUGGUUGUUAAAUGCAAACUGUAAGAGACCACGCUUGUAUUUUUCCACUUAGGAGGAGAUAGAGGAAAAUCUGCACAGUAAGUCAUUAUCAAAAAGCUCUCGUUUUCCAAGAUAGCUUUUACAGUAGCUUAAAACAGAACUUGAAAAUUGAUUCCUUCAUUACUCAUGUGACAGGGCUGUGGAGUUCCCAGCUUCCUUUUAAUAAGGGAAAGCAUCCCAAGGUAGCUGUGUGGUGUAGGGCAGAUGAAUCAUGUUUUGGAAGUGUUGGGGUGUUUUUUUUCCCUCUGACCAUAAGGGAGAUCCUUGUGGCCAACCUGGACACAGAGUGAGAUUAAUCCCAGUUUUCAGGUCUGCUUCUCUCUUCCUCUUUACAACACAGUGAAUUGGGUUGUCUCAUUGGCUUAGGCAAAAUGUGAAGCAGAUUUUUCAAGGAUUGCAGUUUUAAUUUAUAAAUACCUGCCAUUUUAUCCACUGCCAAGUUUUGCGGUGGGGUUGGUAAUUAUGCUGAGAAAUGAGCCCACCUAUCAAAGCACUUGCUGUUCUCAUUUCAAAGCCGUCAAAACAUGGUGGGCACCUACUGGGAAGAAGUUUGGUGCCGUUCAGUUGAAACCUGCAUUUUGGGGCAGCCAUUGCUUUCAGUGGCUUUGAAAAUGGAGUUCAGAUUCCUUUAGUCUCCCAAAACUCCUGGCUUCCAAGCAUUAAUGUGUCCUGCACCCAUAUUUCCAGAGCUUAGUCCUACAUAGAGAGUGAAGACAAAGUGUUGGGGUUUUUAUUUUGCCGCAAUGCUAAGGGUGAGUUGUCCUUCAUUGGAAGGGGUGAGGCGAUGCUGCUUCUUCCAUCUGGACAAGAAGUCUUUGCUGUUGCCCUUAGGGUUUAUCAGCAAACUUUCUUUCCUGCUCAAAUUUAAAUUGACAUUCUUUAUUAUUUUUUUUUCCACCUUGACAUUAUUGCCAGUUCCAAGGACUGAGUCAGGUGCUGAAGCGAUAAUAGUGAAUUUUUAAUCCUCUUUUUAUUGAAAUUGCAUGGGGCACGUGGGGUGCGAUGCCGUGACAAGUAGAGUCUCUGUGUGCCCACGAUCGUUACAAUGGUGCUGAAUUAACUUGUUCUUUUUGAGGGAAUGUUGGUUGUGGCAGAUACAUGCUUGUGCUCAUGCACUUCUAAAGUGGGUUGAGUGAAAUUAAGAAACUGGCAGCAAGAACAAGCAAGAAGCCUAAAGGAACUGAUGCUGCCAAAUGUUGGCAUCCAUGUCAAGGCUGGUACCAGGGCACAGCUGGGCAUACACCAAAGCGUAUCCAGCACAGGAGAUGACUUGCCCAUGAAGUUGACUCAGCGGGUCGUGGGCUGCUCUGUGUUUGCUUAUCUGACGUGGAGUGCUCGAGUCCACCGCCAUGGGAUGCUGAGUGCUUGGUGUUUUGGAGAAACUGGGUUCUGUAAUGAGAAAAUGUGAUGCUGUGGUGUGGGUAAAGCUUCUCCUACUGUUAGGUUGUGCCCUGAAAGCUCUCUGUCACAGUGCUGGAGCUCAGGGCUCCUGCAGUGCUGCUCUCAGCUUGCUGAUGUGCAUUGCCCUCUCACGUGCACCUUUUUUACAUCUAGUUACCCACGUAUCUUGCUUCAGCUGCUGUGGUAUCAUUUUACCUGUACUUUUCCAUCCAGUGCAGGGAUAGCAGGAUAAAACAUGGUGAUGCAGAGUCUACUGUAAUUUUACAGAUGCCGGGAGUCUCAAAUGUGCCAUCUGGUGGUAUAAACACAGCACUUCAAAUAAAGGGCACUCCACAAAUUCCCCUCGCUUGUACUCAUUACUGCUGAAUAAUUCAUUUCUUUUGGACAGAGGUGAACACUUAGAGUCCUUGCAGCCCAUCAGUAUUUGGAGUGUGUGGAACUGAGCUCUUUGAGGGCUAUUUAAUCAGAAGGUGCAGGGAAUUUUGUAGUACGUUUUAAUACGUGCACUCUCAGGAAAUCUGAACCUUCAUACCAAGAAAACUUUAUGCUGGCGUUGCCUUUCCAUUGAGCGGCCUUUGCAAACCAAAUAAAUCUUAGGGUUAAAACCUUUGUGGGGGGGAGAGGGGAGCAAGAAUGGAGCAGGAGAUAGCAGCAAUAAUGUGAUGAAUCAUUGCAUGGUCACAGAACGCCAACAGAGCUCUGUUGUGAGGAGCCUUGCCUUUGCAGAUCAAUGCUAGGACAUUCUGCACUGCAGCUUGAACCUGAACUACUUUCUCUCUGCUAAAGGAGGCUGUGCCAAAUUGCAAAAGACUCAGAGAUCACACUGAAAACCUACUUCAUCAGCAAAAAUAGGCCUCACAGUGAGGAGUGUUAAAAGGCAGUAGGUUUACACCGUAGUUUGGUAUGUACGUGCAGUGAAUUAUGGUCUGAAUUAAUCUGUCCAGAGUGUUUGUCUUUACUGUUACCUUCAACUCGAGCCCUGGCAUAGAAUUCAGGUUGUGCAGGUUGAAGUUUGUGUGCUUGCUGUUCCUAGGAUUUUUACCUAGAGGUCAUUGUGUCCUUUAUUACGGCAAGCACGGAACUUGCCUGCUGUUUGCACUGGAUUAUAUGAUCCGUCUGUUGUAGCUACCAGAGUAAAUCAGGAGAGUAAUUCUCUUUCUCUCCAUAUCCCUCGAGUUGUCGUUUUAGUAGUUGGAAUAUUGGAAUGGAGCCUCUCCUGUCAGCUCUUGCAGCUCCUUUGUGCGCAGUGCUUGCAUGAAAGCGUGUGAGACCAAAUGUGGCAAAAAGAUUUCCAACCUUGGAAUUGCAAACUGCAGAUAAUCUGGGAGAUGAUUGUAGAAAGAAUUAGAGAAGUUAAACAUGUAAAAAAUAACCAAGCAAGCCAAGUGGGAAGAAAACCAAGUGAAGUGCCAGUAUUAAGUGCUGGAAGUGCAUCUGUCCUAACUUGAGGUCUGCUUAUAUAGCUUGGAUAAAAUGCAGGAAGAGGAUUAAAAGAAACCAAACCUGGAGUUGAGCAGCAUCUCUUUGGCAAUCUCUUCCAAAGAAGAUUGGAGUGCUGCGCUGUGCUGAGCGCCAUUCAGAAAGGUGAGGUUGGGCUCUGCUUGCUUAGUCAUCUCAUCACCUCAGUGCUUGGGUCUGUCUGUUCCCAGUGCACUCAUACUGCCAGCAUUGUUUCUGGCCUAAACUUCACAGCCUGCACACCUCAGGAACCCAUAGGAACAGGCCCUUAAACAAGAUGAAGUUCAGUUUGCAUCUGGUUUAGUCCUUGCGCUGCUGCAGCAUGGGGGUACAAAGCAGGAUGUAGCUAAGGAGAGAAACCCCAGUGCUGCCCAGGAAGUGCUGUAGAAAGCGCCUGUUUUCAUCACGUGAGAAUGACUGAUUUAUUGAUAGUGGAGCGGGUACCUUGGCCUUGUUGGCUGUGUCACUGUGUACACCAACUGCAUCCGCUCCAGGGAGCAGUGCUUUCCCCCCAGCCUACAUGCAGCAGAGAUGUUUUCCUGAAGCAGACCUUUUUCAUGUUCUCUGUGUUUCAGUAAUACCGCUAUAAAACAUCACUUGCAAGCUUCCAUUCUUGUUUGCAGGCUAACUCACCCUGCAAGCAUGUAGUCUUGCUGCUUCUUUGUGAAGGAAGAGAGCAGUGAGCUCCUGAGUAUGAUGGGGGCAGCUGAGCAAGAUCAUAAAGAUAUACCCUUACUGCCACUGCACGUUUAUUUUUAUUAAGAAGCGUGGUCUUAAAUCAAUAAAGCAGAUGCUCCUUACCUGUCACCAUUCCUUGGGCUGAGAACAGUUCGGUUUUAUGGCAGGAUUUAUUUGACUGUACAAAUGGGAUGUAGCAUUUGACUGCAGUGCAGAUCUUUUAUUAAUAACAUUUAACAUGUAGCAAUGUAAUUUCUUUGCACCUACUGCUAUGCUGGCUUAAUUUUAUACGAAUUAAGUUUCUACUUCCUUGAAGGCCUUACAUAAGCGUUAGCUGGGAAGCAAUCCAUCCUGUUCAAUUGCAGUAAAGGAGCCGACUCAGAGUGGGCUCUAAGAAAUAGCCAUAAACACGUUUAUAUAUAGACACUGCUAUUAGACAAGAAGCUUGCUGAAGAAACCUUUCCUAUCAUCUAGGAUCUAGUAUAUGCCAUGGAGACUGUUGCAAGCAGGUGUUGUGGUAGACAGAGGCAAGAGCUAAACAACAAGAACAUCAUCUCUGUAAUGACUGCAUGCAGAAGGAGCUGAGUAUCCAAUGGCUGUCUGCUUUUGCUGUAAGAAGGACAUUUGAUAAAGGGAUUUGGAAUCCUUCAGCAUCCCACAUGUGCAAAUCCAGGUGCCGUGCAUGUUAUAUUUGGAUUUCUGCGUUGUUUCGGAUCCGUUUCGAGUCUGUUUGGCAGCAGCCUUGUGUGGUUUGACCCUUUGCUUUCAUCGCAUGUACCCAAUUGUAGGCGAGGUGUGACAGCCCCCUCUCCCUGUUAGUCCCUGCUGAGCACCGAGCUUGGGAACAAUGGGAAUACAAUGGGAAGAUGGGCUCUGGGAGUUCUGUGCUUCCUAACCAUGUAGGAUUCGGCUUACCUUGGGCAGAUCUCAUGGAUGGGGCUCGUAUUUUGAACAGGUAUCUGUACAUCUGACCAGCAGCACAGGGGCUGUUUCCUAAUCUUUGUUGCCAGCUUGCAUUCAGCAUCAUUUGUCGUGUGCUCCCAUAGAGUUUGGGCUAGGUGCGGGACAAAACACGGGAAGGCUUGUGCUUUUGUGGUGGAUUUAUAAGGGUGAUUUGUCAUUCGGUGCCUCCCCUCCUUCCUAAUGAGUUGAAUAGUUAAAAUAUGUUAAUGUCAGUAGAUGUGCAAGAAAGGGUGAAGCAAUAUACUGACGCGUUGAAUAAUUAGAUCAUCUCCCAUGCAGGGAAGAACUCAAAUAUGAAACAGAAACAAGAAGUGCCUUUUUCCCUCCCUGUAGAGGCACCAGGUCUGGCUCCUUCAGCAUGCAGAAGCAGGUUAGACAAUUACAUCUUUAGAAUGAAUUCAUUUUUGUCAGAAUUCCUGAAGAUGCAAAGCAUGAUGUGUUCUAAUUGCCUUUUUUUUUCUCGCCUGUUUGAUGUUGUGGGUUUUCUUCGCUUUUGCAAAGUUGGAGUCUUGUUCUGGAUGGCUGAAUUCAUGAGCAGCCUAUUUGUGAUGGAACAGCACAAAAGUGUGAGCGUUUCUGGCCUGGAUUCAUGAAUACCAUCCUGGUUAACCAGGAUUCCUUGCUGAAAUCGUAGUGAAUUAGCAGGAAUCAUAUAAAGGGAAUUUCAUAAAGGCGCAGGACAUUGCGGAUGCUUUCCUGUAGCAUUUUAUUCUGGCAUAAGGAUGCUGUAUGUUUCUUAAGAAGCCUAUAUCUUUGAAACAGGAGCUGCUUACUAACCUCAGGGAUGGCAGCGUGGUGGUGGGAGCUGCUCUUGUGCGGUCUGUCCCCGCUCUGGCCCUGCUGCCACGAGCAGGCGUGCUCAUUUGUGAGGUUUCCUUGUUUGAUAAACAUAACACUUGGCUUUUGUUCUCUUACUUAAUCAUUUCCUUCGAAGAGUUAACUUCCCAAGCAGCCACAGAUUAGUUCUGUCAGUUGUUUUAAUUGUUUUUCUUGUCACGCACAGUGGAGGUCCAGUGUUUGUAAAAUGUCUUCUUUUAUUUUGUCCCCCUUUCCAUCGCUGCCUCAACGACGCUGGCAUUGCAGGCUGAGCUGUAAGGCUUGCUGGCAUCUACUCAUUAUUACUGAGUUUCACUUCUUUGAAUAUCAGUGCUACAGAACAGAGUACUUUUCCCCGAGGGUGAUGUGAGCACUCCGGUAUUUUCUAUUUCUGCACUUUAGCACUGGGCUUCCACGUGCUCACCGCUGAGCAAUUUCCUUUUGUACUGCUGACAGGUGACUCAAAAGGCAGGAGGAGCAGAUGUCUGCGGCGUCCGCUGGUGGCUGCAGCCUUAGGAGAUGAGUUUUGGAAUCCCCAUCAAAGUCAGGAUUAGGCUCAGGAUCCUCCAGCAGCGCCGAGCCCGCCGGGGGAGUGCAGAGGGAGAGGAAACCAUUCACAGCGACUCAUCGUGUGGUUGGGUGAUUCAGGGGUCUGCUGGUGACGGUCACAGAGGCACGUGGCUCACUGCACCGUCUUUGUCUGCUGUGCAGGAUGCAAACGGUCUCCAAACAUUAAUUCUACCCUUUUUGAUUUUUUUUUUUUUCAUCCGGUGAAUUAUUUCCAGGAAGGAGUUUACUGUAUUUUUCUGGAAUGAACGUUGUGAAAUUCUUUUUCUUUACAGUGGGCGAGUUUUCAGCUGGUGAUUUAUCAACCAAGUAUUUUAUGGGAUCGCAGUUAAAGGCUCUUCUAUAACAAAAAAAAGACAACCCGGCGCGAUAGGGAAAGUAAAAGUGUCUUGGUUUCCAAAUGAUGGAGGAAUAACCGAAAGAGCGAGUUCUUGGAAUAGUAGCUCCAUUGGCACUCGUUGGUGAUUUCCUGCUCGUUUGCUGAAAGAAGCACUUGGUGAUGUGAGUAGGUGGUACUAAAGGGUUAUUACGAAACCAAUUUCAACCAGACAUUUGAGUCAUGGAUCGGGAAGAGGGAAAGCGGCUUCCGAGCUUUCUCUUUGUUCGAGCUGAGCGCACCAGAGGCACGGGCAGGAUAUUCUGUAUUGGUGUGGAGAAGGAUGGAGCAGGUCUGGUGCAUUCGGUGAUGCUCCCUUCCUCGUGCCACCGCGUGCUGCCAUGGGCAGCGAGGAUGUGGGCUGCAGGAGAUGGCGGCAGCACGCAAGGUGCACACGGAGCACUUCCCUGCCUGUGGCUCGGUUUGAAACACGUAAGUAAUUGCUCGUGGCUUCUCCCAGACGUGAGAGACAAAAUGGAGCUGUGUCAGGAUGAACGUCUGCGCCAGGGCAAGCUGGUUUGUUGGAGCAGUUUGGUUCUGUUCUGUGAGCAGCUGAGCUGCCACUGGCAGCAGACAGUUGGCUUCUCCAUCAGGGGAAAAAAAGAAGAAAGAGGGGGUGUUUAAGGGAAAUGGUUUGGCUCCUAAACCGAAGGAAUUGUUGACCUACUGACUCAGUUAUGAAGAAUCAGGGAAACGGUCUUAUUGUGGUUUCUUUUGUUGGUGGCAGAUUCAGAAGACAUCUGUGAGCGUACGGGUAGGACUAGCACAGGAGAGGUGCUUCUGGUACCUGCUGCUUGCUGCGUGGAUUUUGUGCCAGGCAGGAGCUGAGGUGCUGACUGCUCAGCAACACCUAAGCUUGAUUUCUGAUGCUUUUCCUGAUAAUGGCAGUGAGUGCUCCAAAUGAUGAGAGGAUUACGUUGCAGGACUCCAGAGAAGAGUUUUUUGUUUGCUUUCCAUAAAACCACCUAAGAAUCUCCAUACAAGCUAGGGAUAUUGAAGCUAGAGCCUUAGCCACCAUCUCUGCAGUGGGCUUGGUGCAAGCAGAUGAGUCAGCAGCAUUCAAGCGAGGAGGAUGGACGGCCCUGAGAGCCACUGCCACCGCUGUGAGCAACAUUCAGGUGUUUGUUUAAAGCUGCUGAUUCUUCCUCAGUACCAAAACUACUGACUUGGAGACAAAGAGAAAGGUGCCAGCAGGUCUCUCUGCGAGAGAAUAAGUGUUCCACAGUUUAGUUUUCUAACAAUGGCCUGGAGAAAUCCGUGAGGUGCUGAUCUUCUGAGAGUGACUUCCCUAUGCUAAAGAAAGAACGUGUUUUUGAUGGAAAACCUACCUAUAAAUGAGAACAAACAGAAAGUGUCACUCCUGAUGGGAAGGGUCAGGAAUACUUGGAUCUUCAGCUAGAAGGUUUUCUGCAGCCUAUUGACCAGGUUGAGGACAACCUUUUUUUGUUCAUAAUGGAUUGUUCAGAAAAGAAGACAAGUGGACGUGGUAGAAGCUGUUUUAUUUCCUAAGGUAUAACACAUCUGUGUCCCUCUUUGGUAUCAGGUGGUACUUGCAAAUACUUUGCAGCAGUGGCCAUUAGUCCUUUCCUGUUAGAAGCUUUGAGAUGCUUCAGAAAUGAAAAGUAUAAGCAUGUUAUGCAUACAGGACAAAUGAAUUGGUUAUUUUGAUUAGUGGGUAAUACUGGUCCUUAUUCAAGGGCCAUUCCAAAGGAAAUUCCCCCAAUUGCUUGCUUGGUAGAUCUUUUCAUUAGGGCUAAACAAAGGACAGGAAGGAAAGCGAGGUAUGUGAAGUAUUGUCAUCAGUGUAGGAAAUUUUAACAGUAAUGAGGUGUCAUUAAUUUCCUUCCCCAAGUGACUAAACACUUUUUCUUGUUACCUGUUUAUGUCAAGCCAGCGCAGACAUUGUAGUCAUUAAAUCGCAGCUAUAAAAGCUUAGGUUGUUUCUUUUACACUACCAGCUUUAAGAUAACAGAAUUACUCAGAGAAAAAAAUAGUACAGGCAACAGGCCGGCAGUGAAAGCUGGGCGUUUUUAUGAAGACCUGUUAAAAACUUUAGUAAGAAUCUCAAAGUUUGAUGUAUUGAUUUUUGUCUGUAAGUUCAAGAAGUGUUUCAUUGCAGACUGAAACUCUCAUCUCUGUUUCUCGUGACCAGCUGAGCAAGGGAGAUGGGAUUUGAUGUUAUCCAAGGUGCGAUUGCACAGUUCAUGUCUCUUGCUAGCACCAGCUUAAUAAGCUUCUUCCUACUCCCACCCAUUCAUUUCCAGCUCAGCAGCAAUGUGGUGCCAUCUCUUUCCUCACCGUGUGCAAACCCAGGGCUCUGAAAAUAUCUUAGUAAGGCAAAGAAAUGCAAAUAAAAGCGCUUUUUUUUUCUUUUAUUCUUUGAAUCAGAAUCAUGUGAAUGGUUUUGUUUACAGCGUGGCCCAAGGACAGCUGCGUCAGUACAACUGGAGGUGACAUGAACUGCAGCAUCAGAGGCACAGCAAGCACUGGAGGGUGUCCCAAUGUUAAGUGGUCUUGCUGUCAGCAAAAACCUGCUCUGGUACUGUAUUGAAGUUGGAGGGGUUUCACUAGUUAUAGGAAUAUUUAUUGAGCUGUUCAUUUGUUUGUUUGUUUUAAAGAUUAAUAUCUUGGGGUUUUUUUGUUGUUUGGAUUUUUUUUUUCACAUGAGAUAAACCAUCUAUCUGAGAAAUAAGUCAGCUUUGUGGACAGCCAGUGGAUGUCAAUAAAGUCUUGGCAAACACAAUAGGUAUUUAUUCAGCCUUGCAAAUUAGAAACAUUUCUCUUGCUUGUUUUAUGAAGGGAACAAAAAAAGACAAAUUACAUAGCAGAUGAGCUCUCUUGAUAGUUGGAAUUCGUUAGUCUGGUGGUGAAAACGCUGGGGGAUUUAUGGUGCAGAAAAGUAAAAUAAAAGAUGAAACAGCUUUUCACCAAUAGCAGUGGUUUAAGUUCUUAUUGAAAAUUACUGGGGAAAAAACCCUUUAAAGACAUCUGUAGCUGACUUCACAUUCUCAAUUACUGUCUUGGUAGGCAGUUCUUCCCUUCCUCACUGCAGUAAGUAUUAAUUGUUUUUUCAGCUGGCACACAAUUCCUUUAUGGUUCCUCAGUCUCAUUGCCGUGGGAUAUCUGCAGCAGCUCGUAAAUGAGAUACAUGGCCAAGUGUUGAGUAGGAAGUUCACACUCUUGCUUCCCAUGCUGUAGCCAUUCUGUGAACAGAGGCUUUCUGCAAAGUUAUCAAUCUGUCAUCUUCCCUUGGCUUCACAUUUUAUUAAAAAAAGGAAUUUGAGAAGUUACAGUAAGUUGAACAAUUUGUCAGACGUAACUAACUUGAAGGCUAUUGUCUCCAAAUUACAGGCUGACUCGGUCGUGCAGCCUGUCAUGGAUGGAUCAUAAAGCUGUCAUAAGUAAAUGCUUGAAGAAAAUCCGCUUAGGCAGCUCCUGUGAUGGCAGAACAUGGAAAGGAUGCAAGACACUGAAAAACAGAGAGUUACCUGGUAGGCCUUUGGCUGCUGCUAAACCCCUCGUAAAUCACUAGAAUUAUUCAACAGCGAAACAAAACCAGAGUAAACUCCAGCCUUCCAGUGGUUUAAAUCUCUGACGUAGCUUUGCUCGUGUAAGUAAUCUCACAGAUGUCAGAUAAGGCCUCGUGAAUUCUGUAAUACUGAAGAUCAAACUGCUGAUGGUUUAUUUCCUCUGAAAGGAUACAGAGUAGUAUUAAUUUCUAACUACAGAAACAAUUUAAUAGGAAGCUUGUUCACAUCCAGUUUUUAUCUAAGCCUGUGAAUGCUGAGUAUAGAAUCAUCAACAUGAAGAUGUUGUCUUCUCUGCUCCUCCUCUUACUCUCCAGUUAAACAAAGAAAUUACUGCUAGCAAAUCUGAAAGGGACAGUGAAGUCCAGGAUUUACAGAUUCAUUAAAAAUCUAAAGGGCCUAAAAGUUGAAGGACCUACUUAGGAGGCAUCAUGGAGAAGUAGCUUCGUUUUCUAUCUGUAGUUCAUUUGUUUUUCCAAUUCAGAAGUACAGUUUACAGCCCUAAUGCAAGAGUGCUUCUCCGUAUCUGUGCUCUGGAAAUGCACAGAGUUCUUAUGUGUUUUGAAAGAUGCUUUCUUCAAAAGUACAAAUGUGUUCAGUGGAAGAGUCUGCCCUUUGCUUAGUUAUUCUGAGACGUGGUCUGCACCCGCUGUGGGGGUAGCAAUAAAUGCAGAUACACACGUGCUGAACCUCAACUGCAUAUCCCUUAUACAUGGCACCUAUAACUGCAUGGACACACACUGCAGCAGUUCAGCGUUGCCUCUGACCAGGGAAGAUAUAAGCUGUGAAGCUUUAUUGCCUUCCUUGUCUCACAGGUUGAUGCCAUAUUUGUUGGACUUGAUUUUCUGGGAGGGCAGCGCUUAAGCUGCUCUGCCAACAGAUAUUCCCUGGGAACUGUCCAUGCUCAUUUGAGAUUUCUUCCAUCUUCAGCCAUGUAGAAGCUCAGUUUUUAAUCUCAGCUGGUUGUUCAGCUUGUCACUGUGGUAAACGAAGAGUUACACACCUCUGGAGGUAAUUAACGCAUGGAAAUAGACGUAAUUAAUUACAUUUCUGACAUGAUUUCCUGCUGCCUGAAGAGAACAAUUUUAACACCACUUGGCUGUCCUCAGGAGACCGCAGAUGGGUUCGUCUCGGGUGAUGUUUGUAAUCAGCUGAAAUCAGCUUGCGCAGAGCUGCCAGCAGCAAGCACAGAAUGUGCAGGUAUGACACUGCAGAAGGGAACAAGUACAGUCCUUAACUCCUUGAAUUAUACUGCAGCAGGGCAAAGUUUGAGGCUUUUUCAUGCCUUGUGAAAAUUGUUCAGUCCUGUCCGCAGUGUUAAAGCAUCAGCAUUUUGUGCACUCGCCAGAACAGUGUUAUUUUACAGCCACACGGGGCACAGCGGUUGCUUUCUGUCAUCAGAACACGCUGUGCUGUUGUGCUGCUGUUGCUUUGGGUAAUUUGUUCUUGCUGAAGCUCUGUGAUGUGCGCGUGGAGUGCUUUGCACAACGUCACCGUGAGCGUGGCUGUGCCCUCGUCUGUGCAAACACUGGGGGCUGUUUGACUUGAUUCUGUAGAUGCGAGUUGGGUAUGUUUGUUCUGCCAGCUGAGAUGAGACGUUGAAGACAGGUUAUAAAAAAUACAUCUGUUUGAAAAGAUUAAAUGGUCUAGAACACACUUGAGUAAUAGAGUUCCAAGAAAAAUCCUUGUGUCAGACUUCCUAGAAACUGUGGUGGAACCAGGUGGUAAGUGCCAGCACUGAGCAGUUAAUUGAUGCAAUCCUUACAUUAGGUUUGGGCACACACUUCUAGUGUGUUACAAAUAACCCACAAAGGGUGGACUGGUCCAUCAAUGGGACCAGUCAGCAUGUAGGGACUGAUACAUAGAUUGUGUCACAGGCUGUUACUGCUGCUACUGCUGCUAAAAAUAAUGUGCCUCAUCAUUUAGCAGGAGGCAUUUCGCAUGUUGUUCUGCUGUCACUAGAGGGGGUUUGCUGCAGUGCUUCUCUUACUCAUGUUCUUAGUGCUGUCGGGAGACCUCAGCAGACACAGUGUGUGUAAAGAUGACGGCGAUUCUGAAAGGGGGAUGAGGGUCCCCUGGUAUGUGUUGCCCAAUCUGGAUUAAUAGCAUUCUUCAGGGUAAUAGUGCUGUAAGCAGUUCUCUUUCUGUUGGUAGCGCUGUAAUAGAAAACAAAUGAGCAUUCAGUGACUCAAAGCAGAAUCAGGAAGUAAGAAAAAAAAACAUUGAUUAUUUAAUAGGAAAAAAAAAAAACAAAGAUGGAAAAAACCACCAUGGAUAGAUGCUCUUCUGAUUUAUUGUUUCAGGAAUAUGAUCUUGGCUAGAAACAAGCUCCCUCAGGAAGCUGGUUUCAUAUGGUGGUUUAGAUUUAACUAUUUAUUGUCUAGCACCAUUUGAAAUCAGUGUUCUUGGAGGAAGAAUGCCUGCUGCGUUCAUCAUUGAAAUGGAUCCUCGGAAACCUUGGUGGAGAAAGAAGGUCAAGAUCUCUGUGUGCUUCUGUUGCUAGACUUAGCUUCACCACUGAACAGACUCCCUAAGUAGGCUGUGACCUCAGACUAAGCAGCUCAGGCAGCCCUUGGGAGAGCACUGCAACAUGUGAUUUCAAAGGCAGAAAUUCUGUUGUAACGGUGCUGGCCACCAGCAUGUUUAUAGUGUUUGUAGGUGGUCAACCAGAACUUGGAAACAGAGACAUAAACACUGCAGAAAAGCAUAAUGUGGAAUUGCAACACAGCGUUGAAGACAUUGAUGUUAAAACAGCCCCUGUUGAAUUACACUCUUACAGCGUGGCGAGAAAUGAGGAAGGGAGCCUCAUUUGCUCUGCUUUCAGCGUAUCGUGGAUGCCUUUUGGGUUUUAGUUCUUUACUGCUGCUGUAAGUGCCCGUACAUACAGUGCGUGUAUCAUACAUGACACUGAUAGUUCUGGAUGCUGUCCACACCCAGGUGCUGCGUGUUUCCAUUUUCAUGUGGCAUGCUUGGCAGAUUUCAAUUGGCUUAUGUAUUUUUUAGGUCUUUUAGUAUUCAGGUGGCAGGUUGGUAGCCUGAUGCGCUUGGUGUAAUCAAUGGAAACAACCAGCAUCAGUAUCUGAGAACUGGACCACAUGUGGUAGAGCACAUUGACUGAGGCUACUCUGUACAAUUCCAAAGGAGUAUGUAACUAAUGAUUUUGAAAGUUCUCGUCUUCCGAGUCUUCGUCUGAAGUGUUUCAAUCAUGCACCAUUUUUCUAGGGAGUAAUGCCAUAGAGGUAACCAAUGAACGUUCAUCAAGCAUUUGGGGAUCCUCCAGUGUAAAACACUGUUUAGUACCUAACUCUUCAUCCUUGAAGAUCUCAGUAACCCCUUUAGAGGAUGA